This 137-nucleotide small nucleolar RNA is filed under the name Nestor notabilis (Kea). The record is from RNAcentral. Lineage: Eukaryota; Metazoa; Chordata; Aves; Psittaciformes; Psittacidae.
AUGCAAACUCGAUCACUAGCUCUGCAUGAUGUUGCAGAAGCAAGGGGAACAGGUUUGCUAAAAUAAACAUGGUCAUAGAACUAUAUUAGCCCAAUAAAUCAAAUGAUUGGGGCUUUUAAUUCUAUACCAUGAUAAGG